Molecule: ribosomal RNA, 376 nt
Filed under: uncultured bacterium
Lineage: Bacteria
Description: bacterial SSU rRNA
Rfam family: Bacterial small subunit ribosomal RNA
Source: RNAcentral
UAAUACGUAGGAGGCGAGCGUUGUCCGGAGUUACUGGGCGUAAAGCGUGGGUAGGCGGCUCUGUGCGUCUGUGGUGAAAUCUCCCGGCUUACCUGGGAGGGGGUCAUGGAUACGGCAGGGCUUGAGGGCGUGAGAGGCUUGUAGAACUCCCGGUGGACCAGUGAAAUGGGUAGAGAUCGGGAAGAAUACCAGUGGUGCAGACGGCAAGCUGGCGCGUACCUGACGCUGAGCCACGAAAGCAUGGGGAGCAAACAGGAUUAGAUACCCUGGUAGUCCAUGCGGUAAACGAUGUCCACUAGGUGUGCGGGGUAUCGACCCCCUGCGUGCCGGAGCUAACGCACGAAGUGGACCGCCUGGGGAGUACGGCCGCAAGGUU